GGAACGUACCUUUUGGUUCGGAACAACUGAGGGAAACUUCAGCUAAUACCGGAUAAGCCCUUACGGGGAAAGAUUUAUCGCCGAAAGAUCGGCCCGCGUCUGAUUAGCUAGUUGGUGAGGUAAUGGCUCACCAAGGCGACGAUCAGUAGCUGGUCUGAGAGGAUGAUCAGCCACAUUGGGACUGAGACACGGCCCAAACUCCUACGGGAGGCAGCAGUGGGGAAUAUUGGACAAUGGGCGCAAGCCUGAUCCAGCCAUGCCGCGUGAGUGAUGAAGGCCCUAGGGUUGUAAAGCUCUUUUGUGCGGGAAGAUAAUGACGGUACCGCAAGAAUAAGCCCCGGCUAACUUCGUGCCAGCAGCCGCGGUAAUACGAAGGGGGCUAGCGUUGCUCGGAAUCACUGGGCGUAAAGGGUGCGUAGGCGGGUCUUUAAGUCAGGGGUGAAAUCCUGGAGCUCAACUCCAGAACUGCCUUUGAUACUGAAGAUCUUGAGUUCGGGAGAGGUGAGUGGAACUGCGAGUGUAGAGGUG
Molecule: ribosomal RNA, 528 nt
Filed under: Bradyrhizobium sp.
Lineage: Bacteria; Pseudomonadati; Pseudomonadota; Alphaproteobacteria; Hyphomicrobiales; Nitrobacteraceae
Description: bacterial SSU rRNA
Rfam family: Bacterial small subunit ribosomal RNA
Source: RNAcentral